Molecule: long non-coding RNA, 1806 nt
Filed under: Capra hircus (goat)
Lineage: Eukaryota; Metazoa; Chordata; Mammalia; Artiodactyla; Bovidae
Description: lncRNA (ENSCHIG00000007471.1)
Source: RNAcentral
CAGCUUGGCCAUGUGACCAGCAGAGCCCCUCUCUGCAGAAGACUAUCCACCUCCAUCCUGUUGAAUUUAGAAGUGACCAUUUAUUUGGCCAGUGAGGUUCACAUUGGCAGUGCCUCAUCCAAGAGCCUGGAAAGUCGGUUCAGGGUUCAGCCUGCCUCUUUCUCCUCUGCUGCCAGACUGAGAAGAGGACAGGACACUCCCUCAGCUGGGUCCAAGGGUCAGUUCAGCAUGGAGUGGAUCUCAGAGGAAGCAACAGACAGGGGCUCUGCGUGAGAAACAAACCUCUGCUGGGUAAGCCACCAGAUCUUGGGAGCAGUUUGUUACUUCAACAGAAUUGAGCCUCCCUGACCAACACGAACAGUAGACCUGUCUGCACAUCGGUUAACAGCCAUGGGUUCCAAAGCCAAGUUCUCCCACUAACUGGUUGCACCAGAUCAGUCAACUCCUGAUCACCGCUACCACAACUUGAUCCAGAAAAAGUCCUCUGUUUUCAAACUAAAAAUAAAGGGAUCAGCCCAGAGACUUUGCAAAUCCCUCAGUAACAACAAUCUAUGACCACUAAUUAUCAAGAGGAGACCUGAAUUCUUAAGAGUAUGUCAAUUAAUAUUAGAGGUUAAAAUGCCUACAAGACCCACAGUUACGCUUCAAUACGACCAGUGCCCAGGUUCCGACGGUGGAGAGUGCCUUUGAAAACAUCCCUCGCAGCUGAACCACCAAACCAGAGCUUCCAGGAUCUCCCGGAGACUCGGGUCUAUACCUACAAACCCUCUGCAGCCACCACCUGCAGCUACACAGCGGUGAGCAGGCGAAGAAGAGGAAAGGAACCGGCGGGGACAGAGCGGGAAGAGCCGCUCUCAGAGAGCCCACAAAGCCCGUGGGACGAAAAUGGACUUUUGAACAGCGCCAAAGAAAGGGGGAAAGAGAAAGAAAACGGACUCCGCCCUCCCCACCCGGCUCUGCUCCUUUCAGUUAAAAAAAAAAAAAAAGAAAAGGCCGCCGCCGCCCCAAUCCCUUCGCCCUUCACCCGGGAUGAGGAGCCCGGCUGAAGCCGCGCCCUUUUAGUCCCGCUGCCGUCCAGGCCGGGUCCGGAGUCGCCCACUGAGCCCUGCACCCCCCGCCCCGCCCGCAAACUCGCGGCCUGAGCAUCCCCUUCCCUCCCUCCCUCCCCGGCUCCCUCGCCCCAAUCCCGGGGCACCCGAUUCUCCACGCACCCGCCAUCCCUUCCUCUUCCCGCGCCCCCGCCUCCGGCCUUCCAACCGCAGAGCGCUUUAAGACUUUCACCCACCCGGACAAGGGGGCCCUUUGAAAACUUUGUCUGUGUAUCUAAGGCUUUUGUCCACAUCCUGGGCAGGGCCCGGUUACCGGCGUGGGUGCCGGGUGGUGUCCGGAAUCUCUCAGGGCACUGGGGAAGCCACCACGGAAAUCCCUCUCCUUUAUUUUUGAGCCGGUUUCUGCCACCCUAAGGCACGGCGCUUGAACUAACAAUUCCCACGCCCUGGUCGCCCCUCCGCGCGGGGGAGCCGGGAGGAAAGCCCCGCACCCGGCGCCUUUCUCCACCGCCACCAGAGAAAAGGUGUACGCGGGGAGAGGGAGGCAGCCGAGAAACACCGUGGCCAAAACGACCCCGUUAAAAGAAAAAACAAAAAACAGGGAAGGGGUCCUUUUUCUCCCACAUCCCCAGAACCGGGGCGAUCCACUGUUGCAUCACGUAGUAGCCGAGCCUCCCGGCUCCUCGCCCUCCCCUUCGCCCCAGACGCGCGCCCAAAUUCAUACACACACCUAGAGCCACCGCCGCAGCCGUCCCGC